UGACGGCGCCCGCGACCACGACAAGGAUGGCGACCAUCUCUUCGGAAGCCUAACGAUCCAGCACAGGUCCCAGCCCUGCGCAGCCGCCCGCCAAGCCGCCAGAGGACCAGCCGAACGCCAAAGGCUAGGAGUGGACGAUUGCAGGAAGUUUCCAACUCGCCGACUUCGCCCCACUCCACUGGCUCCGGCUUGGCGGUCCCCGGCUUCGGGGUGCCCUCCGUCCCUCCCCCUCGCGUCGUCGCGUUCUCCCUUGGCAUAACCCCCCGCCGCGGGGCCGCAGACCCCCUAAGCGCUUCGUGCGCUCUCCGCGCCCUGCCCACCGGCCCCGACCCCUCCCCCGACCGGACGGGAGAGGUGGGAAGUUUGGGGGCACCCGCUGUGGGUGUCCCAUUUGCGGGGCUGGGCUCCGGGGAGCCGGCGCGCGGCGCCCGCUCCCUGCCCGCCAGCCGUUUGGGAGCUCAGGCGCGGGCAGCCGCUUUUGUUCCCGGGAAGGGCGGAGCUGCGUCCCGGGGAGACACGCGUUGCAGCCGGCAGCGUAGUUGCUCCCCGCUGGCCGGCCGCUCCGGGAGGGCCCCGCAGCGGAGGGUCGGGGCUGGGGCGGGCUGGGGAGGGGGCCCAGGGCUGGGGCCGGUUCGGCCUCCCGGGUGGCGCGCGGGCCGAGGAGCUAGGAGGACCGCCGCGCCGCUUGUCCUUUGGAUAAACCUUGGCGGUUCCUCCUCUGGUGUCCGUGGACCCCGCCGCGGCGUUCUCCAGGGCCGCGGACCUUUGCCCACCGGUUGCGCCCGCUGCCCCGGGCAGAAAGGACCCCCCUCCUCCCGGACCGAGCCCCGAGCCCCAUGGAGCAGGCAAGGGCCAGAGUCCCGGGGCCGAGGCCCGACCGGCGGACGCUCCGGGACCUUUUCCCGCCCCCGAGGGUGCAUGUCCGGCCGGGGCCGGGACUGGCUGGGAAACCGAGGCCAGAAGAGGUCGCAAUCCAGCGAGGAAUCGGAUGUGGACCUUGCCUGCAAAUCCUGGUUGGUCAUGGUGGAGACUGUAAAGCAAUCAUUCUCAAGGAGGGGCUUUUUCACGCAGUAUGCCUGGAGAGAGGCUGCACCACCACCGCGUUCCUCCCCGAUGAGUCCAGUGAGCCACGGCUGCGGGCUACGGUGUUGUGGUGCUCGGGUGUGUUGGAAGGAAAUGGUUCCCGAGGCAUGCCAGCUAGCACCUGACCUACAAGAUUCCAGCUGUUUAACUGCCAUCACAAAGGCUCAUGAUGUGUUGACAGUAUUUCUGCCUGCUGCUCUGAAAAUUCAAGGAAAUAAAUACCUGACAUUUAUUGAAUGCCAGAAGCUGUUCUAAGAACUUUCUAUGUAUUAUCUAUUUUAGUCAUUAUAAUAUCCUUAUGAAAUAGGCACUUUUAUCCCCAUUUUACAGAUGAAUAAAAUAAGGCACAGAAGGGUUAAGCAACUUUCACAGGUAGAAAGCUGCACAGCCAGGAUUUAAGCCCAAGCUCUUAACCACUGCACUACAUCAAUGCAGCAAAGGCUGAAUGAACCAGAGUAUUUGAUUUACUUAGCUCUUAUGCUGGAAAGAUGGUGAGGCUUUUGCUCAUGGUCUGUAUUCAAGCACAAAUACCAAAAUCAAGGACACCUUUGCAUUGGUGCUCCAUAGGAGGUUUCCUUUUUUGUUGUUUAGAGAGAAGGUCUUACUCUGUUGCCCUGGCUGGAGUGCAGUGGUGCGAUCACAGCUCACUGCAGCCUUGACCUCCAGAGCUCAAGCAAUCCUCCACCUCAGCCUCCUGAGUAGCUGGGACUAUAGGUGCGCACUUCCACACCCAGCUAAUUUUUAAUUUUUUUUUUUUUGCCACUUCACAAAUAUUUUAUCAAAAAACUCACCUGAGAAAACUCAAAGAAUCACAGUAAUAAGCUGUCUAUGCCAUAUUUUUUUUUUCCUUUUUUGAAAAUGCCAAGAAGCUACUACUAAGAAUGUAUUCAAGAGACGGAAGUUCCAAGAUUCAUCACAGGGUCAGGUGGGCUCAACUUAGUUUCCUGGGCCCUCUAUAACACUUCAUGUUCAGAAUUGUCUCCAAAUAAAAGCAAUUUAAGGGAACAUUCAAUAUGGGUGUCUUUGCUGUGCUUGCAGUCUUAAUUCUGUGGACACUGAUAUUCUAUCAAUGGAAAAUUGAGCCUUUAGUGAACUUGAAUACCCUGUUCCCCAAUCACUGCCCAGAGAGCAGUUUCUGAGCAGCCAACAUGUCAGAGGCAGGAAAACAGCAGCUAAAAGGCAAAGGAGAAAAAUGGAAGACACCUGCCUUUACACGUGUAUUUUAAGCUAAAUAACCAUGAUAAAAUAUCACCAACACCCAUUUUUUGUAACUUCUUAAUUGUCCCACAUCAAAGAUAAGUAUGGACAACUGUAAUUGGUUCUUAUAUAUCCCUAAAUUCCUAAUUGAAAUCAAUUCCAAUAAAUCGUUGGUGCUCAGUAGAAAAAUGCAAAAUUUAAAUAUAUAUAUUCAGUAGAAGUUACCUUCAUAACUUGUGGGGCAUUAUCAAAAUAUAAUUGGAAACCCCUCUUUGUAACCAACUAACCAAAUGAUCUUUUCUUAAAGGCACAAAUUAAAAGGUGGCAAAACAACCAUAUAUUUAGUGUGUGGGAUCACAUUCUCCUAAAGAGCAUCAGGAAAUGUAGGUAGAAGUCAAUGUUGUAGCCUAGGUUAGAAGGCCCUGCUUGCUGGGAGUUAACUCUGGUUAUUGGAUUGUGGGGAGGUGUGGCAGGGAAGGUGGUCAGGGGAACACGGGCACUCCAGAAGCUCGGAGCAGCAGCUCAUCAGCUGUGAGGCACCGUCAGCAUCCUUGCGUCCUGUGUGGCUGUGAGGCACCGUCAGCAUCCUCGCGUCCUGUGUGGCUGUGAGGCACCGUCAGCAUCCUCGGUCCUGUGCGGCUGUGAGGCACUGUCAGCAUCCUCGCAUCCUGUGCAGCUGGGCCAGGACAAACUGGCUGAACUGCAGCUCUGCUUGCAGCUUGCUAGAAAUACAACUUGGUAACAACAGGAGAUUGUGGACACACUAUUUUUCGUUAGUUUAUUACAAAACUACAGAUACAAUACACAAAAUUCUAAUUCCGAAAUCCUUCUACAUUUUUU
RNAcentral lists this long non-coding RNA (3120 nucleotides) under Homo sapiens (human). RNAcentral's name for it is "HSALNT0390899". Lineage: Eukaryota; Metazoa; Chordata; Mammalia; Primates; Hominidae. The record is from RNAcentral.